AGUUUUUCGAUGUUCUUUAAUUUGAGUAUUUACAUUUCUGCAUAUCAAUUCUAUUAUUCAACACAGACAAUGAAUUGGCUUAUUUGGAGAGCAUUCACUUAUUUGUGGAGAUACUGGACCAUUUUUUCAGCAACGUGUGUGAGCUAGUCUCGUAUUUAAUUUCCACAAGCUUAUUACCUCCUGAGCUGGAAAUCUUCCAUUGGACCUAUCCAAGCUUAGUUUCACACAUGGACUCUAUCUUGGGCCUUAAAUUAUGUGUGCCCCAGCUUCCAACACAGAUUGAUUUCUAAUUCUUUUGGUAUUUGGAUUUCUAACCAGUUGGUGUGUGUAUAUCUCAUACUAGAUGAGUUCAUACUUGCUGGGGAACUCCAAGAAACAAGCAAGAAGGUUUGCUACAAAUAAGGUCGCAUCUUCGACGCAUUAUAUUUAAAAUAUGAAGUAUAUAUGCAUGGAAUAUUUUCCCAUUGGUAACAGUUCUCAGCUCUCCUACCGCCGAUUCGUCCGAUUGAAGAGGAAUUCAAUUGGAAAUUAUCAAUAUUUUCGCGAUUCAGGAGAAGCUGUACCAGGAGAUCGUCGGCGUGGCGGAGGGCGACGUGGUGGAGGAGGAGGAUCUGCAGAAGCUGCCGUAUCUGAAGGCAGUGGUGCUGGAGGCGCUGCGGCGGCAUCCAACGGGGCACUUUGUGUUGGCGCACAAGGUGAAGGAGGAGGUGGAUCUGGACGGUUACCGAAUC
Molecule: long non-coding RNA, 731 nt
Organism: Salvia splendens (bonfire salvia)
Lineage: Eukaryota; Viridiplantae; Streptophyta; Magnoliopsida; Lamiales; Lamiaceae
Exons: 4
Source: RefSeq, a predicted model, not a curated record